UACGAAGGGUGCAAGCGUUACUCGGAAUUACUGGGCGUAAAGCGUGCGUAGGUGGUUUGUUAAGUCAGAUGUGAAAGCCCUGGGCUCAACCUGGGAACUGCAUUUGAUACUGGCAGGCUAGAGUGCGGUAGAGGGGUGCGGAAUUCCUGGUGUAGCAGUGAAAUGCGUAGAGAUCAGGAGGAACAUCCGUGGCGAAGGCGGCACCCUGGGCCAGCACUGACACUGAGGCACGAAAGCGUGGGGAGCAAAC
Molecule: ribosomal RNA, 250 nt
Filed under: uncultured bacterium
Lineage: Bacteria
Description: partial 16S ribosomal RNA
Rfam family: Bacterial small subunit ribosomal RNA
Source: RNAcentral